RNAcentral lists this ribosomal RNA (253 nucleotides) under uncultured bacterium. Its description in RNAcentral is "partial 16S ribosomal RNA". It matches the Rfam family "Bacterial small subunit ribosomal RNA", at positions 524 to 776 of the family's 1533-position model. The record is from RNAcentral.
UACGAAGGGGGCUAGCGUUGCUCGGAAUUACUGGGCGUAAAGCGCGUGUAGGCUGCUCGGAAAGUCGGAUGUGAAAGCCCUGGGCUCAACCUAGGAAGUGCAUUCGAAACUUCCGAGCUAGAGUUCUGGAGAGGAAGGCGGAAUUCUCGGUGUAGAGGUGAAAUUCGUAGAUAUUCGGAAGAACACCAGUGGCGAAGGCGGCUCACUGGACCGUUGUUGACGCUGAGGUGCGAAAGCGUGGGGAGCAAACAGG